RNAcentral lists this ribosomal RNA (2905 nucleotides) under Yersinia enterocolitica. RNAcentral describes it as "bacterial LSU rRNA". It matches the Rfam family "Bacterial large subunit ribosomal RNA". RNAcentral also lists the same sequence under 1 other name. Lineage: Bacteria; Pseudomonadati; Pseudomonadota; Gammaproteobacteria; Enterobacterales; Yersiniaceae. The record is from RNAcentral.
UUAAGCGACUAAGCGUACACGGUGGAUGCCUAGGCAGUCAGAGGCGAUGAAGGGCGUGCUAAUCUGCGAAAAGCGUCGGUAAGCUGAUAUGAAGCGUUACAACCGACGAUACCCGAAUGGGGAAACCCAGUGCAAUUCGUUGCACUAUUGCAUGGUGAAUACAUAGCCAUGCAAGGCGAACCGGGGGAACUGAAACAUCUAAGUACCCCGAGGAAAAGAAAUCAACCGAGAUUCCCCCAGUAGCGGCGAGCGAACGGGGAAGAGCCCAGAGUCUGAAUCAGUUUAUGUGUUAGUGGAAGCGUCUGGAAAGUCGCACGGUACAGGGUGAUAGUCCCGUACACAAAAAUGCAUAUUCUGUGAACUCGAUGAGUAGGGCGGGACACGUGACAUCCUGUCUGAAUAUGGGGGGACCAUCCUCCAAGGCUAAAUACUCCUGACUGACCGAUAGUGAACCAGUACCGUGAGGGAAAGGCGAAAAGAACCCCGGCGAGGGGAGUGAAAUAGAACCUGAAACCGUGUACGUACAAGCAGUGGGAGCACCUUCGUGGUGUGACUGCGUACCUUUUGUAUAAUGGGUCAGCGACUUAUAUUUUGUAGCAAGGUUAACCGAAUAGGGGAGCCGUAGGGAAACCGAGUCUUAACUGGGCGUCUAGUUGCAAGGUAUAGACCCGAAACCCGGUGAUCUAGCCAUGGGCAGGUUGAAGGUUGGGUAACACUAACUGGAGGACCGAACCGACUAAUGUUGAAAAAUUAGCGGAUGACUUGUGGCUGGGGGUGAAAGGCCAAUCAAACCGGGAGAUAGCUGGUUCUCCCCGAAAGCUAUUUAGGUAGCGCCUCGUGAACUCAUCUUCGGGGGUAGAGCACUGUUUCGGCUAGGGGGUCAUCCCGACUUACCAAACCGAUGCAAACUCCGAAUACCGAAGAAUGUUAUCACGGGAGACACACGGCGGGUGCUAACGUCCGUCGUGAAGAGGGAAACAACCCAGACCGCCAGCUAAGGUCCCAAAGUCAUGGUUAAGUGGGAAACGAUGUGGGAAGGCACAGACAGCCAGGAUGUUGGCUUAGAAGCAGCCAUCAUUUAAAGAAAGCGUAAUAGCUCACUGGUCGAGUCGGCCUGCGCGGAAGAUGUAACGGGGCUAAACCAUGCACCGAAGCUGCGGCAGCGACACUUAGGUGUUGUUGGGUAGGGGAGCGUUCUGUAAGCCGUUGAAGGUGACCUGUGAGGGUUGCUGGAGGUAUCAGAAGUGCGAAUGCUGACAUAAGUAACGAUAAUGCGGGUGAAAAACCCGCACGCCGGAAGACCAAGGGUUCCUGUCCAACGUUAAUCGGGGCAGGGUGAGUCGACCCCUAAGGCGAGGCUGAAAAGCGUAGUCGAUGGGAAACAGGUUAAUAUUCCUGUACUUGGUGUUACUGCGAAGGGGGGACGGAGAAGGCUAGGCUAGCCGGGCGACGGUUGUCCCGGUUUAAGCAUGUAGGCGGAGUGACCAGGUAAAUCCGGUUGCUUAUCAACGCUGAGGUGUGAUGACGAGCCACUACGGUGGUGAAGUAGUUGAUGCCAAGCUUCCAGGAAAAGCCUCUAAGCAUCAGGUAACAUUAAAUCGUACCCCAAACCGACACAGGUGGUCAGGUAGAGAAUACUCAGGCGCUUGAGAGAACUCGGGUGAAGGAACUAGGCAAAAUGGUGCCGUAACUUCGGGAGAAGGCACGCUGGCGGUAGGUGAAGAGACUUGCUCUCGGAGCUGAAGCCAGUCGCAGAUACCAGCUGGCUGCAACUGUUUAAUAAAAACACAGCACUGUGCAAACACGAAAGUGGACGUAUACGGUGUGACGCCUGCCCGGUGCUGGAAGGUUAAUUGAUGGGGUCAGCCGCAAGGCGAAGCUCUUGAUCGAAGCCCCAGUAAACGGCGGCCGUAACUAUAACGGUCCUAAGGUAGCGAAAUUCCUUGUCGGGUAAGUUCCGACCUGCACGAAUGGCGUAAUGAUGGCCAGGCUGUCUCCACCCGAGACUCAGUGAAAUUGAACUCGCUGUGAAGAUGCAGUGUACCCGCGGCAAGACGGAAAGACCCCGUGAACCUUUACUAUAGCUUGACACUGAACAUUGAGCCUUGAUGUGUAGGAUAGGUGGGAGGCAUUGAAGUGUGGACGCCAGUCUGCAUGGAGCCAACCUUGAAAUACCACCCUUUAAUGUUUGAUGUUCUAACUCGGCCCCGUAAUCCGGGGUGAGGACAGUGUCUGGUGGGUAGUUUGACUGGGGCGGUCUCCUCCCAAAGAGUAACGGAGGAGCACGAAGGUUAGCUAAUCACGGUCGGACAUCGUGAGGUUAGUGCAAAGGCAUAAGCUAGCUUGACUGCGAGAGUGACGGCUCGAGCAGGUACGAAAGUAGGUCUUAGUGAUCCGGUGGUUCUGAAUGGAAGGGCCAUCGCUCAACGGAUAAAAGGUACUCCGGGGAUAACAGGCUGAUACCGCCCAAGAGUUCAUAUCGACGGCGGUGUUUGGCACCUCGAUGUCGGCUCAUCACAUCCUGGGGCUGAAGUAGGUCCCAAGGGUAUGGCUGUUCGCCAUUUAAAGUGGUACGCGAGCUGGGUUUAGAACGUCGUGAGACAGUUCGGUCCCUAUCUGCCGUGGGCGUUGGAAGAUUGAGAGGGGCUGCUCCUAGUACGAGAGGACCGGAGUGGACGAAUCACUGGUGUUCGGGUUGUCAUGCCAAUGGCAUUGCCCGGUAGCUAAAUUCGGAAGAGAUAACCGCUGAAAGCAUCUAAGCGGGAAACUUGCCUCGAGAUGAGUCUUCCCUGGGGCUUUAAGCCCCCUGAAGGAACGUUAAAGACUAUGACGUUGAUAGGCUGGGUGUGUAAGUGCAGCGAUGCAUUGAGCUAACCAGUACUAAUGAUCCGUGAGGCUUAACCUU